Molecule: ribosomal RNA, 484 nt
Filed under: uncultured bacterium
Lineage: Bacteria
Description: partial 16S ribosomal RNA
Rfam family: Bacterial small subunit ribosomal RNA
Source: RNAcentral
AUUGAACGCUGGCGGAAUGCUUUACACAUGCAAGUCGAACGGCAGCACGGGGGCAGCCCUGGUGGCGAGUGGCGAACGGGUGAGUAAUACAUCGGAACGUGCCCGGUCGUGGGGGAUAACGUAGCGAAAGUUACGCUAAUACCGCAUACGAUCUGAGGAUGAAAGCGGGGGACCUUCGGGCCUCGCGCGAUCGGAGCGGCCGAUGUCAGAUUAGGUAGUUGGUGGGGUAAAGGCCUACCAAGCCGACGAUCUGUAGCUGGUCUGAGAGGACGACCAGCCACACUGGAACUGAGACACGGCCCAGACUCCUACGGGAGGCAGCAGUGGGGAAUUUUGGACAAUGGGCGCAAGCCUGAUCCAGCCAUUCCGCGUGCAGGACGAAGGCCUUCGGGUUGUAAACUGCUUUUGUACGGAACGAAAAGGCUCUGGCUAAUACCUGGGGCUCAUGACGGUACCGUAAGAAUAAGCACCGGCUAACUACGUG